UGUAACUUAGUUUAAAUAGAACAGUUGAUUUGCAUUCAUCAAGUGAUAUAAUAUCAGUGGCAG
This 63-nucleotide transfer RNA is filed under the name Haementeria acuecueyetzin. Its description in RNAcentral is "tRNA-Ala". The record is from RNAcentral. Lineage: Eukaryota; Metazoa; Annelida; Clitellata; Rhynchobdellida; Glossiphoniidae.